This 57-nucleotide microRNA precursor is filed under the name Notamacropus eugenii (tammar wallaby). RNAcentral describes it as "Neu-Mir-26-P2_pre stem-loop". The record is from RNAcentral. Lineage: Eukaryota; Metazoa; Chordata; Mammalia; Diprotodontia; Macropodidae. RNAcentral also lists the same sequence under 1 other name.
UUCAAGUAAUCCAGGAUAGGCUGUUUUCUCUUCAGCCUGUUCUCCAUUACUUGGUUC